GCUGGGCAUGGUGAUGCAUGCCUGUAAUCCGAGCGGCUUGGGAGGCUGAGGCAGGAGGAUCAUGAAUUCAAAGCCAGCCUCAAGUGAGGCACUAAGCAACUCAGUGAGACCCUGUCUCUA
This 120-nucleotide small RNA is filed under the name Marmota monax (woodchuck). The record is from RNAcentral. Lineage: Eukaryota; Metazoa; Chordata; Mammalia; Rodentia; Sciuridae.